This 978-nucleotide ribosomal RNA is filed under the name Triticum aestivum (bread wheat). Its description in RNAcentral is "partial small subunit ribosomal RNA". Lineage: Eukaryota; Viridiplantae; Streptophyta; Magnoliopsida; Poales; Poaceae. The record is from RNAcentral.
AUGUACGCCAAUGAGCAAAUGAUCUGGUAUCUCGCGUCAAUGUUAGCCAAGGUUGAAGGCAUGACAGCUGAGAUCGUUGUUGCUACCGCGCGACUCGACUCGGCUGCCUCAGCUACGACAACAUCAGACCUGGUUGUGCCCAGCACUGACCUCGCGACUACCAUGCUGGAGUCAUCCACGCCCAUCAGCCAGACCCUCACGGACGGCGACGACAAUUUCAUCCAUGUCACCACUGCCCCUGCUCCGCCCACCGUGGUCGAGGAGAUCCACGACGCGGCCUCCGUCUUCUGCCUCGAGCCUACAGUCGACCUCACCAUCGACAACACGGUCACCGCAGCCGCCACCGACGUCCCCUCCUCCACCACCAAGGCCGCGGAGGUCCUCGAGGUUGUCCAUGAUGCGUCCCCUGCCUGCGUCGAGUGGGUGCCUGGCACAUGUUCGACGGAAUGCUUGCACCAUGUCACCACCACCGACAUCGUCAACAAGGGCCAUGGCACAUCUGCUGCCAUCUUCCUCGAGCCCGUGGUCGACUUUAAUGACAUCACACCCACCGCUACAAUGGCCGAGCCGGAAGACUGGAAGGACUACCAGGUUGUGGCGACGACGUCCCGGGCUGUCGACAUCAUCAAGGAUGUCAAACUUGCCACCCCUGUACCUCCCAUGCUCUCGAGGUACGGACCUGACAUCGCCAACAGCUAUGCCGACGUUCCUGUUGCGUCUCUGAUUUCAGUGGUCACACGCCCAGCAGAAUCGGUGCCCGGUUGCCAUCUUGAACCUCUCACUGCUUCUUGCCAUUGUUCAUCAGUCAGACGUUUUGCCGCACGUGAGGUGUUCGACAGAUUACAACGUCGAUGGCAACGACCCAGUUCACUCAAAUGCACACACCGCGCAUCAACCAGGGCUGCCUCCUAUCCAAGUGCAGAUUGUUCAGGUUGGUGUUGUUCUGUCCCAUGGCAGUCCUCAUGGAGGUUUCGCUAG